Molecule: long non-coding RNA, 677 nt
Organism: Melanotaenia boesemani (Boeseman's rainbowfish)
Lineage: Eukaryota; Metazoa; Chordata; Actinopteri; Atheriniformes; Melanotaeniidae
Exons: 3
Source: RefSeq, a predicted model, not a curated record
AACCUGCUCGCUGGUGAACGUGUCAGCUGAGGUGAAGGAGUUCAAAUGAUGAAGCAGGAUCAUAUUUCAGCUCCAUGAUGUGUUUCUCUAAUGUUCAUAUCAACAUGACUGUCUCUUCUUCUCUUCUCUUUUAGCCACACUAGCAGCAUGGCUCUGAUGUUAAUGUCAGUCUGUUGGUCAGUCCACUACUUUAGUCCAGAUGGACUGGAUCUGGACUAAAGGAUGGAGGGAUGGAUUGACAUGAAACCUUUAACAGACAUUCUUGGUCCCCAGAGGAUUAACUUCAUGAAGGGACUUUGUUGAUUCUGACUUUUUAUUCCAGCGCCACCAUCAGGUGGACGUUUGUGGUUCAGACUGAAAUAUCUCAACAACUAUUGGAUGGAUUGUCUGGUUCAGACGUUCAUGUUCCCCUCAGGAUGAACUGGAAUAACUUUGGUGAUUCUCUGAAAUUUCAUCUAGCGCCACCAUCAGAUAAUCCUGGGGAAACUGAAAACCUUACUGAUGCUGAACUCUUCCCAAACUUAACAGGAACAAUAAAGAUAGAUGGAAACUUUAAUCUUGAUGACCAGCAAAGCCUUCCAGGGGUACCAACUAACGCUGGCACAACGGGAAAUAAAUGCAGUGAUCACAUCGAUGCCAAAGGAAGUCACCCGGCGCCUGGAGGACGUUGUUGGCCU